RNAcentral lists this ribosomal RNA (460 nucleotides) under uncultured bacterium. Its description in RNAcentral is "partial 16S ribosomal RNA". It matches the Rfam family "Bacterial small subunit ribosomal RNA", at positions 338 to 795 of the family's 1533-position model. The record is from RNAcentral.
CCUACGGGUGGCAGCAGGGAGGAAUAUUGGUCAAUGGACGAGAGUCUGAACCAGCCAAGUAGCGUGAAGGAUGACUGCCCUAUGGGUUGUAAACUUCUUUUAUAUGGGAAUAAAACAGGGUAUGCAUACCCUCUUGUAUGUACCAUCUGAAUAAGGAUCGGCUAACUCCGUGCCAGCAGCCGCGGUAAUACGGAGGAUCCGAGCGUUAUCCGGAUUGAUUGGGGUUAAAGGGAGCGUAGGUGGAUUGUUAAGUCAGUGGUGAAAGUUUGCGGCUCAACCGUAAAAUUGCAGUUGAAACUGGCAGUCCUGAGUACAGUAGAGGUGGGCGGAAUUCGUGGUGUAGCGGUGACAUGCUGAGAUAUCACGAAGAACUCCGAUUGCGAAGGCAGCUCACUGGACUGCAACUGACACUGAUGCUUGAAAGUGUGGGUAUCAAACAGGAUUAGAUACCCUGGUAGUC